RNAcentral lists this transfer RNA (66 nucleotides) under Galictis vittata (Greater grison). RNAcentral describes it as "tRNA-Trp". The record is from RNAcentral. Lineage: Eukaryota; Metazoa; Chordata; Mammalia; Carnivora; Mustelidae.
AGGAGUUUAGGUUAAAAGACCGGUAGCCUUCAAAGCUCCAAGUAAGUGCCACUCACUUAACUCCUG